Molecule: ribosomal RNA, 253 nt
Filed under: uncultured bacterium
Lineage: Bacteria
Description: partial 16S ribosomal RNA
Rfam family: Bacterial small subunit ribosomal RNA
Source: RNAcentral
GACGAACCGUGCGAACGUUGUUCGGAAUCACUGGGCUUAAAGGGCGCGUAGGCGGGCCAGCCAGUCCGGGGUGAAAUCUUUCGGCUCAACCGGAAAAUUGCCUGGGAUACGGCUGGUCUGGAGGGUGGUAGGGGCAGGUGGAACUUCCGGUGGAGCGGUGAAAUGCGUUGAUAUCGGAAGGAACGCCGGUGGCGAAAGCGACCUGCUGGACCACUGCUGACGCUGAGGCGCGAAAGCCAGGGGAGCAAACGGG